GUCUAUGGCCAUACCACCUUGAACACACCUGAUCUCGUUGUCUCAUCUCAGAAGCUAAGCAGGGUCAGGCCUAGAUAGUACUUGAAUGGGAGACAGCCUGUGACUACUCGGUGCUGUAGGCU
Rattus norvegicus (Norway rat) is the source of this 122-nucleotide ribosomal RNA. NCBI's taxonomy places the organism in Eukaryota, Metazoa, Chordata, Mammalia, Rodentia, Muridae. The record is from Ensembl.